This 253-nucleotide ribosomal RNA is filed under the name uncultured bacterium. RNAcentral's name for it is "partial 16S ribosomal RNA". It matches the Rfam family "Bacterial small subunit ribosomal RNA", at positions 524 to 776 of the family's 1533-position model. The record is from RNAcentral.
UACGUAGGUGGCAAGCGUUAUCCGGAAUUAUUGGGCGUAAAGCGCGCGUAGGCGGUUCGUUAAGUCUGAUGUGAAAGCCCCCGGCUCAACCGGGGAGGGUCAUUGGAAACUGGCGGACUUGAGUGCAGAAGAGGAGAGUGGAAUUCCAUGUGUAGCGGUGAAAUGCGCAGAGAUAUGGAGGAACACCAGUGGCGAAGGCGUCUCUCUGGUCUGCAACUGACGCUGAGGUGCGAAAGCGUGGGGAUCAAACAGG